CCCCAGGACAUUCAGAGUGGGCAGCUGGCUCUAACAGUGGCAGCAGUGACAAGGAAGUAACUGCAACAUGGUGGACGUGCGUUUCAUCUUUGAAUUGCGGAAGCAGAUAAUUAAGCGGUACUGGAAGUGUGAGAAUGCAGCUGCGGUUCGAAGACAGUGGAGAAACAUCAAUAUCAAAGAAGAAAUAAACAUCAGAACAUAAAAAGUCAAGAGAUUUAUUUUCAUUAUGGUUAAAAAAGCAAACGUAUUUCAAGAAGUUCAAAGACUGAGAUAUACAAAACUCUUGUCAUAUAUAUUCUGAAUAUGACUGUGAGACAUGGUCACUAACAAAAUCAUAAGAAGCAAAAUUAAAGAUUUAGAAAUGAAAAUUUUCAAGAAUAUAUCUCGAGGGAUUAAAGGUAAAUAGCACAGCAGAUCGCAAGAUAUUACCAAACAAAGAAGUAUGCAAUCUGUCUGGAGAAUCAGACAUCAUAUCUCAAAGUAGAACUAGGGGACUUCACCACAUUGGACAUGUACUUCAAACUGCAGAAAACUGGAAAAUCUAUCAAGUAUGCACAGAACAUCAUCAAGGAAGGUUACCUAUUGGAAUGUCAAUACUACACUAUUUUGACAACAUCAGAGAAGAUAUGGUAAUGUGACAAGUAAUAAAAUGACAAAUUAAUUAGCAAAAUUACCUGAAAAAGUACUGUGGCAUCAUCAGGGAAAAACUUUCAUAGC
Long non-coding RNA from Schistocerca serialis cubense, 717 nucleotides. RefSeq lists it as uncharacterized. The record is from RefSeq and is a predicted model, not a curated record. The transcript is spliced from 3 exons. Lineage: Eukaryota; Metazoa; Arthropoda; Insecta; Orthoptera; Acrididae.